Pan troglodytes (chimpanzee) is the source of this 5002-nucleotide long non-coding RNA. RefSeq lists it as uncharacterized. The transcript has 5 exons. NCBI's taxonomy places the organism in Eukaryota, Metazoa, Chordata, Mammalia, Primates, Hominidae. The record is from RefSeq and is a predicted model, not a curated record.
UUCCUGGCUCAUCCUGGCUCAAAAAGCACCCCCACUGAGCACCUUGCAACCCCCAUUCCUGCCCGCCAGAGAACAAACCCCCUUUGACUACGUGCAUGAAAUUUGGUGCCCUGACUCGGAUCGGGAGACCUCCUUUGGGAGAUCAAUCCCCUAUACUCCUGUUCUUUGCUCCAUGAGAAAGAUCCACCUAUGACCUCAGGUCCUCAGACCAACCAGCCCAAGGAACAUCUCACCAAUUUUAAAUCAGUUUUUCAAGUGGUACCUGAGAUUCAGCACUUCUAAAAAGCUCCAAGGUGAUGAAGGUGCUGCUAUUUGGAGGCCAUACUUUGAGUUGCCAGAUGCUAAAAAUUCAACAGAUGGGAGUAGGAUUUAAUGGCAUCAAGAUUACAGCAAGAGUGUCGUCAAUGUCUGAGAGAAAAGGCACAGGACAAUUCAUGUAAUCUACUUUUUAACUCCUCACUAUGCCAGCAGCACACUUGGAGAGGAAUGUUAUAAUGGAAGAAGCUGCCCAGUCACUGAUUAAAAUGUUUACUGAAACCUUUUCUCCAGACAAAAUGUGACAAAAUCUGAUAGAAUUUGUUGUCAGCAGACGAACAUAACAGGAAAUGUUAAAAGAAGUUCCUCCCUGAAGAUGAAGAAAAAUGAAGCCAGAUGGAAAAUUGAAUUUACACAAGGAAUGACAGUGUCUAGAAUGGUAAAUAUGUGCAUGAAUAUAAAACACUUUGAAAUUUUAAUUUUUAAUACCUUUAAAAUAUAAUUAAGUAAAAUGAAUUAUUUUGAGGUCUAUAACCCUGAUGUAAGUAAAAUGUAUAACAACAAAGCACAAAAAUCAGUUCGGAGGAAAUAAAAUUAAAUGUUGCAAGGUCCUUUGAUGAUACAUGAAGCAGAGUAAUAUUAUUUGAAGAUAGACUGGAAAAAGCAGAAGUAUGGCCGCUAGCAGUGAAUAGCAUUAAAAUUUCAUCAGAUAAUUUAAGUGCAUAAAAAUAUUAUAUUUUUAUAUAAUAUUGUAUAUAAUAAAUAUUAAAGAUGAGUGACUAGGGACAUUGAAUACCCACCCUGUCCAAAAGGAAGAAUCAAAAUUAUGAAUAGAUAAUUGUACCUGGAACAGAACAUCUAGGAGAGAACACUAGAGUCCAACAGAAAAGCCACAAGAAACACCUGGGGCAUAGAAGAAGAAAGUGAGUGGUCAGCUCAGUUGAGAUCGGGAUCAACUGGGAGCCCAGGGGUGCUCAGUGUUGUAAGGAAAAGGUAAGGGAGAGAACUUCAGCAGUCCACAUCUCCAGCAUGGACUGCUGCAAUCCUAACCAUGGGAGAAGUCCUGUACUCACACAAACACUAGUGUAGGCUCCAAACACUAGUGAUUUGGAGAACCCAUGAGGGCACUGAACCAGACAGGGAACUCAAACUGGGUCACUCACCGCAUUGAGACCUAAGUGGCUACAGCAAGGUACCAAUGUGAGAACACAGCCAUGACAAGACUGCUUCCUGCCCUGGGAACCAUAGCUCCCAUAUCUCCACAACUUGGGAGCCCCCACUGACAUCCCCUAGUGCCUACCCAAAGAGCUACAGUGUCAUCGUGCUGUCUGGACCGAAAGGUGUUGUGGAAUCCCCAGUAUUCUAGCCCACAGGGAUUACUACUCUCCAGAAAAAAAGGAUAGUUCAGAUCACCAAAAAGGCAGCACCACUUAGGACAAAGGAAACAAAAGCACAUGCUUUCUGGGCUGAGAGCUUUCUGUUUGGGGAUGUGAGAAGUGACCCUGCUCCAAGCAGUGGCACAAACUGUGCUCAGCCUUGCAAACAGAGUGAUAUCCCUUCCCACUGGCAGAGUGGCUUCUACGCUUGGACCGACACAUAGAAAAUGGAAUCCCUUCUCCUGCCCCUUGCACUUCUGUAGGCACAGCUGCUGUUGCUACCGCAGGAGGCUGGGGCAGUAGAGCUGAAUGGCUGCCUUUUUGGGGCUGUUAGUUGUGAGUGUACCCCCACAUGUGGUGUGGCCUCCAUGCAUGGACUGUCCCAUGAAAGAUGGGUGUCCUCACCCUGUGCAGUGCUGCUGCUACUGAGAGUGGCAAGGCUGGGAGCUGCAUGUCUGAGACUGUGGCUGUCAACCCCUUACCACGUCACCACCAACACCAGUGUACACCACUCAGGACCAAGAGAGUCAUCCUGCUGCUGCUAUCUAUCACCUAUAUACCAUGCUUCUGUCACCCAUAUACCAUGCAAACUGCUCAGGACCCAAGAAUCCGCUCACCUACCUAGAUGAAUGUUGCCACUCAGGCCAUCUGAGCAAGCUAUCUGGAGGCUCAAGAAUCAGUCCAUCUGAUUCCAUUAACAUUGAUGACAGUGUAUGCUACCCUGGAGCACAAAAACAGGCAUGUUUACCCACUGCUGCCACCAUGGGGGUCUGAAAACUGGCCUACCUGGCAUCCUUGUUUGCCACAAAAUUUUACCAUAGCCUCCACUAAUAACUGCACCCUGAACAACCUGAGGAAAUAACAGAUACCACUCAGGCUGUCACAGCUGAAAAAUCAUUCAGGGAUUACACUGUCUCAUGCACCCAGAAUAAAAGCUAAAAGGUCUUACCCAACCAACACUAUUGAUAUAUUUUCAGGAAAAAGUACCCCCCUCCAAAAGAAAAUUUGAAAAAAAAAUUAAAAAGCAAGAAAAUGUGAUACCUACAAAAGGACAUAAUAAGUCCAGCAACAGAUCACAAUAUAAAAGAAAUUCAUGAAAUUCCAAAAAAAGAAUUCAAAAUUAUGAUAUAAAAGAAGCUCAGUGAAAUACAAAAGAAUUCUGAAAAACAAUACGAGGAAAUCAGAAAAACAAUCCAAGACAUAAAUGAUAAAUUUACCAAAGAGAUAGAUAUCAUAACAAAGAACCAAGCAGAAAUUCUAGAAUAAAGAACUCCAUGAAUGAAAUACAAAAUAUAUUUGAAAGCUUCAAAGACAGGCUAGAUGAAGCAGAAGAAUAUCAGAACUUAAAGACAUGUCUCUUGAAAUAACCCAGUCUGAAAACAAUAAAGAAAAAAAGAGUUUUAAAAGUAUAAAAAGUAUAAGUCAGACAACAAUCAAAAAAAAUAAUUUUAAAAGUAUAAAUAGUGGGCCAAAUGGCUUACUAUAAACAGCUGCCGUUACAGGUUCCCACCAAGAAGAACCAAAAUAGCAUGUGAAUCCUGCACUGGGAACUGAGGUAUCCAUGUUCUAUUAUCAGGACUGACUAGUAGGUUGACAUGACCCAUGGAGAGCAAAGAAAAGAGAGGUGAUGUGAUGGCUCACCUGAGAGCCACACCUGGCAAGGGGAGCCGCAACCGCCAGCCAAGGGAGGCAGUGAGUGAUUGUGCUACCCAGCUUGGUAAACCCUGCUUUUUCAAUGGAUCUGUGCAACCCGUGGAUAGGGAGAUCAUACUCAUGAACCCAUCCCACCAGGGCAUUCGGUCCCAACCACAGAGUCACACAGAUUCUCAAUAGCCACUUGGCUGGAGACUGCCUAAGACUACUGAGCUCCCAGGGGAAGGGGAGGCCAUCAUCACUGCUGCUGCCUGCUGCCUUAGAAAACUGAGCACCCCAGGUGAGGGACGGCAGCCAUCACUGCAGCUGCCUGCUGCCUAAGAUGACUGAACUCCUGGCGGUGGGGGUAGGGCAGCAGCCACCCCUGCAGCUUCAGUCCGCUGUUUUUCCCCUGCAAUGCCAGGGAGACUGAAUGGUUUGGACUUAAGAGGUAUUCCCCACAGGAUAGCACACUGGCUGUGGCAGAUCGUAGACAUACUGCAUCUUUAGGCCAAACUCUUCCCCAUGCCUCCUGGGCAGGCCAUCCCUCCAGGAACUUCAGCAACUCCAGCCAGAGGCUUAGGGACAAAACUCUGAUCUCCAUGGACCUGAGCCCUAGGGAGUGGGGUGGAUGUGGUCUCUGAGGACCAACAGACUUAGUCUUUCCCCCUGCUAGUUCUGAGGAAUCCAGGCAGCCCAGACCAGUGGGUUUCCCCCAAGUGCAGAACACCCCCUCCACAAAGGGACAGCCAGAGUGCUUUGUUAAGUUGGUCCCAGAUCCUGUGCCCCUGACGGGUGAGAUACCCCAACAGGAGUCACCAGACACCUUAUACAGGAGCAUUCCUGCUGACAUCAGGUUGGUGCUCCUCAAAGACAGAGCUCUCAGAGGAAGAAGCAGCCACCACCUUUGCUGUUCUUCAGCCUCUUCAAGUGACAUCUACAGGCGUGGGAGGGACCCAGGUGAAUAGGGCCUGAAGUGAACCAUCAGCAAAUCACAGCAGCCCUACAGAAGAGUAGCCUGACUGUUAAAAGGAAAACAAACACACAGAAAGCUACCACAACAGCAUUAACAAAAAUGUCCCCACAAAAACCCCAUCCGAAGAUCAGCAGCCUCAAAGACCAAGACAAUGGGGAAAAUGUCUCCAGCACAUAUCAAAGUUCUUCAUGGCAGCCACUCUCGUCACAGGCCUGGAAGACUAGGAGGAAAAAGUGGUUUUGUGGGCUGGGCCCAGGGUCCCCAUGCUAUGUGCAGCCUAGGGACUUGGUGCCCUGUGUCCCAGCCACUCCAGUCAUGGCUGAAAGGGGCCAAUCUAGAGCUCAGGCUGUGGCUUCAGAGAGUGCAAGCCUCAAGCCUUGGCAGUGUCCACUUGAUAUUGAGCUUGCCAGUAAACAGAAGUCAAGAAUUGGGGUUUGGGAACCUCCUUCUAUAUUUCAGAAGAUGUAUGGAAAUGCCUGGAUGUCCAGGCAGAAUUUGCUGGAGGGGUGGGGCUCUGGUGGAGAACUACUGCUAGUGCAGUGCAGAAGGGAAAUGUGGGGUCAGAGCCCCUACACAGAGUCCAUACUGGGGCACCUCCUGGCGGAGCUGUGAGAAGAGGGCCACCAUCCUCCAGACCCGAGAAUGGUAGAGCCACUGACAGCUUGUACUGUGCAUCUGGAAAAGACGUGGACACUCAAUGCCAGUCUGUGAAAGCAGCCAGAAGGGAGGGUGUACCCUGCAAAGCCACAGGGACAGAGCUAUC